RNAcentral lists this ribosomal RNA (486 nucleotides) under uncultured bacterium. Its description in RNAcentral is "partial 16S ribosomal RNA". It matches the Rfam family "Bacterial small subunit ribosomal RNA", at positions 30 to 507 of the family's 1533-position model. The record is from RNAcentral.
AUUGAACGCUGGCGGCAUGCCUUACACAUGCAAGUCGAACGGCAGCACGGGUGCUUGCACCUGGUGGCGAGUGGCGAACGGGUGAGUAAUACAUCGGAACAUGUCCUGUAGUGGGGGAUAGCCCGGCGAAAGCCGGAUUAAUACCGCAUACGAUCCACGGAUGAAAGCGGGGGACCUUCGGGCCUCGCGCUAUAGGGUUGGCCGAUGGCUGAUUAGCUAGUUGGUGGGGUAAAGGCCUACCAAGGCGACGAUCAGUAGCUGGUCUGAGAGGACGGCCAGCCACACUGGGACUGAGACACGGCCCAGACUCCUACGGGAGGCAGCAGUGGGGAAUUUUGGACAAUGGGCGAAAGCCUGAUCCAGCAAUGCCGCGUGUGUGAAGAAGGCCUUCGGGUUGUAAAGCACUUUUGUCCGGAAAGAAAUCCUUGACUCUAAUACAGUCGGGGGAUGACGGUACCGGAAGAAUAAGCACCGGCUAACUACGUG